UACAGAGGGGGCAAGCGUUGUUCGGAAUUACUGGGCGUAAAGCGUGCGCAGGCGGCUUUGCAAGACAGAUGUGAAAUCCCCGGGCUUAACCUGGGAACUGCAUUUGUGACUGCAUGGCUAGAGUGCGGCAGAGGGGGAUGGAAUUCCGCGUGUAGCAGUGAAAUGCGUAGAUAUGCGGAGGAACACCGAUGGCGAAGGCAGUCCCCUGGGCCUGUACUGACGCUCAUGCACGAAAGCGUGGGGAGCGAACAGG
RNAcentral lists this ribosomal RNA (253 nucleotides) under uncultured bacterium. Its description in RNAcentral is "partial 16S ribosomal RNA". It matches the Rfam family "Bacterial small subunit ribosomal RNA", at positions 524 to 776 of the family's 1533-position model. The record is from RNAcentral.